Molecule: ribosomal RNA, 253 nt
Filed under: uncultured bacterium
Lineage: Bacteria
Description: partial 16S ribosomal RNA
Rfam family: Bacterial small subunit ribosomal RNA
Source: RNAcentral
GACGUAGGGCGCGAGCGUUGUCCGGAUUUAUUGGGCGUAAAGAGCUCGUAGGCGGCUUGUCGCGUCGACUGUGAAAACCCGCGGCUCAACUGCGGGCCUGCAGCCGAUACGGGCAGGCUAGAGUUCGGUAGGGGAGACUGGAAUUCCUGGUGUAGCGGUGAAAUGCGUAGAUAUCUGGAGGAACACCGGUGGCGAAGGCGGCAUCCUGGACCAAUACUGACACUGAGGAGCGAAAGCCAGGGGAGCAAACGGG